UAUGGUGCAAAUAAAGAAAAAAACAUUAACUGUUUCACAAGUAGCAUGCCAGCUCCGAGCGUAAACAGUUAUCACAAGGCGUUUCCAUGGCUGGAUCCAGGAAAACGGUCCUCUGGAAUAUCGCUGAUACUGAAUUGCUAAAAAAUGACUGCUUUCUGAAGGAGGGAGGCCCGUGAUGCCGCAGUCGUUAAUGUGUAGAGCAUGACCUAUAGGUCCAUGGCUGCAGGGCAGAAGGCUGCUGCGUUCACUUACACCGAAUAACCCCUGAUCUGACAUCGCUCCUCAGAUCCUCCAGCCUGAGAUGUGAUCCUGGUCCUCUCCAGACCCACCCAGCUGAAGAAAACCGCCCGGAGCGACAUGCAGCCUCCAGACAUCGGAUGAUAGGGACAUGAGAAGCUCUCCACCCAUCCCGAGCUUAGAAACCCGGUGUCGCUAUUAAGAUAUCCUUUACAUACAGUAAACACAGCUUCACUGCUGCUCUGUGCAAACACAUCUCUGCAGAUAAACGCUCACAGACGCACAUUGUUCUCGUUCAACUGGGAGCAAAUAAUAACGUGUGUGUUCAAAAGGGCCUGUUUUGGCAUUGCAUCUUUGGUGGGUUUGCAAUAGAGGGGAGAGGGGAGAAAAAAACACCUGAAAGGCCAGCACUGUCUUAAUCUUGCACUUGUGCGUCUCAGGUCAAUGUCUCAGCUCGAGGCCACGGUUAAACAAGCAAGCGUGUAUCAUGUGAGAGAACAGGUAGGACGAGAUUCAGGCCCUUCGGAUGACCCAGCUCUCACAGCAGCCUACUGUACGUGCUCUCAUGGCCACUUCGGCACAACUUUAACCUGUGCACGCUCGAGCUGAACACCAAGGGUUUGGCAGCAUUUUGCAAACCGGCACAUCUCGACUUCAGUUAGAGGUUUGACACUUUCAUGUCGUCCACAGAGAAGUCAGCGGUGAUUAAAAGGGAGCUCUCGAAACCAGUCAUUAAAAGAAUGAGGGGAGAAAACAGUCGAAUGUCGGAGGCAUGUGAAUGCAACUCCAGCUCAUGGAGACAAAAAAAGACAGAAGAAUCCUGGACUGCCCACCUCUGCAGCGACCGUGGUGACAGAUGAAGGACGGCGCACUCCACC
This is a long non-coding RNA of Pleuronectes platessa (European plaice), 1115 nucleotides long. RefSeq lists it as uncharacterized. The transcript has 4 exons. NCBI's taxonomy places the organism in Eukaryota, Metazoa, Chordata, Actinopteri, Pleuronectiformes, Pleuronectidae. The record is from RefSeq and is a predicted model, not a curated record.